This 322-nucleotide ribosomal RNA is filed under the name uncultured eukaryote. RNAcentral describes it as "partial 18S ribosomal RNA". It matches the Rfam family "Eukaryotic small subunit ribosomal RNA", at positions 1470 to 1796 of the family's 1831-position model. The record is from RNAcentral.
CCCUUAGAUGUUCUGGGCCGCACGCGUGCUACACUGAGUAAUUCAAUGGGUAAGGGAACGCUAGAGCAUUACCUAAUCUUGAAAUUUGCUCGUGAUGGGGAUCGACGGUUGCAAUUUUCCGUCGUGAACGAGGAAUACCUUGUAGGCGCAUGUCAUCAUCAUGCGCCGAAUACGUCCCUGCCCUUGGUACACACCGCCCGUCGCUCCUACCGAUUGAGUGAUCCGGUGAGGCUCUGGGACCUGGACGGAAAGAGCGUUUCGCUUGUUCUGUUUGGGAAACUUGGUCGAACCUUAUCAUUUAGAGGAAGGAGAAGUCGUAACA